Long non-coding RNA from Leguminivora glycinivorella, 1314 nucleotides. RefSeq lists it as uncharacterized. The record is from RefSeq and is a predicted model, not a curated record. The transcript is spliced from 6 exons. Lineage: Eukaryota; Metazoa; Arthropoda; Insecta; Lepidoptera; Tortricidae.
GUCUAAUGUCAUCUCACAUCGCUGAUCAUUGAGCGAGACAUGCGCUCCAAGCGGAGAGAUUUAUAACUGCAAUUACAAUGCCUCAGCCGGUCAUUUUUGCGACUGUUCUACUUCGACAGACUUUCCUCCUUAUCUCUACUCUCCCUGGAAGUAACGAAAUGUCACUUCAAGUGACACUGUUUUUCCCUCCUUUUUCGUUUGGCGCCUGUUGUGUCGUACGCGUCCUCCGUGAUUGUGCUCUAUGUGAUUAAUAAUAACACCUAUUCGUUUCAUGGAAAAGCGAAAACAUGUACUCGGUGAUAAAAUUUACUGAAAAAGACGGCGGAACCGUAUCAUUAGUGAACAACCAGUGGUUUACGCCAAGGAGAUGCGAAUAUCAAAUUCUACGGACAUCACUCGGCAGUUCGUGGUCCCGGCCGCCAUCAUGCUUUGUACUGCUGCUCCAGCUAUCCUCCAGUGCAACUUGAAGGCCUAAUCCAUGCACACAUCGGUGUUUUUUUAUAUCUAUGUAAUACACUUGUCAUUGGCGAAGGUCCACGAGGCUGCCAUAUUGAAUAGAGAGAAAUUCUUUAAGGGCCAGUGAUCGAGCCAUGCUAAUUUGAAAUCGCGAGUACCUAUUUCGUAUAAUCACAUUAUUUUCAUAAAAUGACUUGAGGACCCCUUCCAUUGACAUGAAUGCACGGAACUACAAGCCGGCUUCUUUUCUGCGUUGGGUAUGUUUCACAUUUGUACGCCCAUGAUUUUAACCCUCGCCAAGGGUUGGUAAAAGCCUCAGGGUCAUUGUUUCUUUUAAAACCUAUUUCAGGGUUCUUCGAUUUGGAGGUUACGUUCAAAGGUAGCGCGGAGCUGAUGCUUCCCGAGCCUGAACCGGUGGACAGGAGGCUGUGGCGACUGGGAUGGAAGAGCUUCCAUUCCUGUAGCUGCAGCUUCCACCUCCCCUAAAUUCUGUUACAUGUCACCAAGGUCAAGAUGACCUAGAGAAAGCAAAAAAAAUACUGAAACUGGUUGAGGAUACAUCAGACUUACAGACUGAAGCCGAAACAGAACCAAGUCUUAAACGUAAAAUGCAAAAAAGAUAUGUUUCUAGCAGCAGUGACGAAGAUGAACAGUGAAAAAGAAAUAAACAACCACUUCAAGCUGCUGACAAUGAAGGAGAUUAUGGAGAUAGUCGUCAAGCUCAGCCAAACAUUGCCCAAGAAACCGCUUCAAUAGCAGAAAGAACCCUCUCAUUACUGACUGUAGCAGAUGAGCUUCCCAUCUUGACAAACAGUGACAACAGACUGCAAGAUUUGGCAGAAGACGGCGACGGACGGU